Hibiscus syriacus is the source of this 972-nucleotide long non-coding RNA. RefSeq lists it as uncharacterized. Lineage: Eukaryota; Viridiplantae; Streptophyta; Magnoliopsida; Malvales; Malvaceae. The transcript has 3 exons. The record is from RefSeq and is a predicted model, not a curated record.
CAUUAACUUCCAAUUCUCCAUCCUCAACUUAACUGGUGGCUACCGUCGCUGCUCGAGGGAAAAAGGGAAGAAGAAGAAAUCCUAAUUGGCAGAGAAAGAACGAAGGAUUGAAAGAGUCGCGGUGGCGGAAUUGAAUCUACAUGGCAGCCGCCCCUCUUUCUCUUAUCCCUCCCCCCUUUCUUCUCUUUCAAAACACGCUCAAUCCAAGGCCCAAUCUCCUAUUUCUCCCUCUUUCCAUAUCUCCGUUUCGCUCCCUCUCCCCAUCAACCCUAAAAAAUACGGCAGAACCCCUCUCCCGCCUUCUCUUCCUCUAAUCCCGACGCCUCUGCUUUCCACGAUGGGUUCGAUUCACAUCCCAGUCCAUCUAAGGAAUCUGUCCUUACCAAUCGCAUACAUAGAUAGAACCAUUGGACGUUAGCCUUAUCCAAAAAGAUGUCUCCCCUACAACUGUGGAUGCAUGAAAAGGACUAUUUCUGGCAUGUUGGGUUUACUCCCUUCUGAUAGGUUUCAAAGUCUUUAUCGAGGCUUUAUGGGAACCCCUCUCCAAAUUGUUGGUUUCUUCUAUGAUGACGGUUAUACAUUGAGGAAUGCUGAAUAUAGGCUUUGCCUUGAGCGGAACCUUGGUUGUGAAGGAGAUUUGGAAAAUCAAACUUUAGAAAAGUCGAACUUUGAUUUACAAGACAUGUUACUAGACAGUACAAAAUAAAUGAACUUUUUGAGAAAAUGGCUUGUCAUCUGAAUACGAAGAAACCAUAAAGAGCAAUUUGAAGAUAUAGACUUUCAAGGCUGGGUGAAAUGCCCUUGGAAGCUCGUAAAUACAUUCUUCAUUUGAAGUCUCGUCUAACUGCAGUGAAAAAGGUAUGCUACAGCAUAUUGAGGAGCCUCUCAUGGUUUGUUUUUCCUUUUAAACUAUGAACCGUUUACUUGAUGCACGGCCUGGAUAAAGUUAACUUUAUGCUCUGAACAAAUUUG